AUGAGAAAAACUACAGUCAUUGCUAAAACAGAUUGUAAAGUUGUGAUGGUCAUAUCAGAAAAAGGAGGCUUAUGGGAGAUUACAAGACAAGAGCUAGAACACAACCAUGAAUUAACACCAACUAGUAGAUUCUUCAUGUCUCAUAAGUACAUGUCAGAUGAAGAGAAGUGCUUGAUAAGGGUUUUGAAGCACACAAACCUGGAAACAAGAAGGAUUGUUGCUGUCCUAGCUUACUUGCGAGGAGGAAUGGCUCAGCUUCCCUACACAAAAAAGCAUGUGACUAACUAUGCAGCGACAGUAAACAGAGAUAUUGCAAACUCUGACAUGAUGGAAGUAGUGCAAAUGUUCAACAAGAAGCAAACAAAAAAUCCUGGAUUUUGCUACUCAUUUGAGCUUGAUGCAGAAAAUAAAGUGAGAAGCUUAUUCUGGACAGAUGUGCGGUCAAGAAUGAUGUAUGACAUUUGUGGUGAUUGCAUCAGUUUUGACACUACAUUCCUAACAAACAGAUACAAUCUACCGUUUGCACCUUUUGUGGGGAUAUCCCCACAUGGCAACACAUACUUGUUUGCUUGUGCAUUUAUCGUCAAUGAGACAAAAGAAACAUUUGCGUGGUUGUUUGAACAAUUCCUGAUGGCUAUGGGAGGAAAGCAUCCUAUAUCAAUCAUAACAGACCAGGACAAGGCAAUGCAAGCAGCAAUUGAAAAAGUCUUUCCUAAUGCUACCCAUAGGAGCUGCCUCUUCCACAUAAAGAAGAAGGCAGAGAAGAAAGUCGGGCCCUGUUUCCAAGCUAAUGAGGGACUCUACGAAGAUUUCCAGGACAUUGUGGACAACUCCUUAACGGUUGAAGAAUUUGAGACACACUGGCAAGAAAUGAUAGGAAAAUACCAAGUUCACCACAUCAAGUACUUCAACGACAUGUGGGAAAACAGGAAAAAGUUCAUCCCGGUGUAUUUCAAGGACAAAUUCUUCCCAUUCAUACAAACUACAGCGAGAAGUGAAGGAACGAAUUCCCUUUUCAAAAAAGGGGUUGGAGCUAAAUUUAGUGGUACUAGCUUUUUGAGAGAGUAUGACCGCAUACUUGAUGUUGUGCAUGACAGGGAAGAAGAAUGCGACCAUGUUAGUAGAAACAAAAAAUUUGCACAGAAAGCAUUUUGGUCGAAAUACAGCAUAGAAAGGCAAGCACAUGAGCUAUACAACAUUGGAAUAUUCAGGAAUUUCCAGUUUAAAAUGGCAGACACAACAAGGCUGCAUGUCUUUGAGCAAGAAAAGGACAAAUACUACAUUGUGACACAAGCUGAAAACUACCCCCUGAAGGAAAUCCGGAAAAGGUUGUACCUAGUGCAAGUUGGACUAAAAGAGGAAGAAUACUCUUGCAUCUGUUGCGCGUUCCAAAAAGAUGGCCUGUUGUGCUUGCACAUACUUCGAGUGAUGAUCCAUCUCAACAUCGAGAAGAUACCAGAAAAAUACAUAAUUGACAGAUGGAGGAAGAAUGAUUACAAGAUUGAUAUUACAAAGACACCAGCUGUUGCAGCUGAGAACUCCACACUAAGGUACAAUGUGUUAGCAAGGAAAUUGGUGCAUAUGGCAUCAAUAGCUUCAAAGAAGAAGAGGAAAUAUGAAUAUCUGUUGGGAGAAUUAGACAGGAUACAGAAAAGGUUACGGGAAAUGGAUGACGAAGAAGAAACAAUGGAUGAGGAGCAAAGUGCAACAACAAGAACAGUUACGUUUGUACCAACAGUAGGAGAGGGAGAAAGAACAACAUCAUCAUUCAUAAUUCAAGACCCGGACGUAGGAAAGACAAAAGGGAGACCAAGGAUGCUAACUAUUCGUGAGGCAAUAAAGCAAAACAAGUUCUACAAAUGUUCGCACUGUGGAUCACAGAGACACACAGUAAAGAACUGCACAAACCUUGACAAGGUGUACAACAAACCUAAAGGGAAACAAUCGAAGCAGUCGAACCCAAGGAAUGUCAAGAAAGGUAACUAA
This 1986-nucleotide ribosomal RNA is filed under the name Triticum aestivum (bread wheat). RNAcentral's name for it is "partial small subunit ribosomal RNA". The record is from RNAcentral. Lineage: Eukaryota; Viridiplantae; Streptophyta; Magnoliopsida; Poales; Poaceae.